This 253-nucleotide ribosomal RNA is filed under the name uncultured bacterium. RNAcentral's name for it is "partial 16S ribosomal RNA". It matches the Rfam family "Bacterial small subunit ribosomal RNA", at positions 524 to 776 of the family's 1533-position model. The record is from RNAcentral.
UACAGAGGUCUCGAGCGUUAGGCGGAAUCACUGGGCUUAAAGCGUGUGUAGGCGGAUCGGUAAGUACCUUGUGAAAUCCCACAGCUUAACUGUGGAGCUGCUUGGUAUACUGCCAGUCUUGAGCCAGCUAGGGGCUACCGGAACAAAUGGUGGAGCGGUGAAAUGCGUAGAUAUCAUUUGGAACGCCAAAGGUGAAAACAGGUAGCUGGGGCUGUGCUGACGCUGAGACACGAAAGCCAGGGGAGCAAACGGG